Molecule: ribosomal RNA, 254 nt
Filed under: uncultured bacterium
Lineage: Bacteria
Description: partial 16S ribosomal RNA
Rfam family: Bacterial small subunit ribosomal RNA
Source: RNAcentral
UACGUAGGGUCCAAGCGUUAUCCGGAAUCACUGGGCGUAAAGCGUGUGUAGGCGGAAGCUUAAGUGAAAUGCGAAAUCUCGUGGCUCAACCAUGUAGACUGUAUUUCAUACUGGGCAUCUGGAGGAUGGCACAGGCAAGUGGAAUUGGUAGUGUAGCAGUGAAAUGCGUAGAUAUUACCAGGAACACCAAUGGCGAAGGCAGCUUGCUGGGCCAUAUCUGACGCUGAGACACGAAAGCGUGGGGAGCGAACAGG